AACGUAGGAGGCAAUCGUUGUCCGGAAUUAUUGGGCGUAAAGCGCGCGCAGGCGGUCCUUUAAGUCCGAUGUGAAAGACCCCGGCUCAACCGGGGAGGGCCAUUGGAAACUGGGAGGCUUGAGUAUAGGAGAGAAGAGUGGAAUUCCACGUGUAGCGGUGAAAUGCGUAGAGAUGUGGAGGAACACCAGUGGCGAAGGCGACUCUUUGGCCUAUAACUGACGCUGAGGCGCGAAAGCGUGGGGAGCAAACAGG
RNAcentral lists this unclassified non-coding RNA (253 nucleotides) under uncultured Caryophanales bacterium. RNAcentral's name for it is "uncultured Bacillales bacterium contains 16S-23S intergenic spacer region". It matches the Rfam family "Bacterial small subunit ribosomal RNA", at positions 524 to 776 of the family's 1533-position model. The record is from RNAcentral. Lineage: Bacteria; Bacillati; Bacillota; Bacilli; Caryophanales.